CGCGUAGGCGGGCCAGCAAGUCCGGGGUGAAAUCUUUCGGCUUAACCGGAAAAGUGCCUUGGAUACUGCUGGUCUCGAGCGAGGUAGGGGCAGGCGGAACUUCCAGUGGAGCGGUGAAAUGCGUUGAUAUCGGAAGGAACUCCGGUGGCGAAAGCGGCCUGCUGGACCUCUUCUGACGCUGAGGCGCGAAAGCUAGGGGAAGGCAAACG
Molecule: ribosomal RNA, 209 nt
Filed under: uncultured bacterium
Lineage: Bacteria
Description: partial 16S ribosomal RNA
Rfam family: Bacterial small subunit ribosomal RNA
Source: RNAcentral